AGAGUUUGAUCCUGGCUCAGGACGAACGCUGGCGGCGUGCCUAAUACAUGCAAGUAGAACGCUGAAGAGAGGAGCUUGCUCUUCUUGGAUGAGUUGCGAACGGGUGAGUAACGCGUAGGUAACCUGCCUUGUAGCGGGGGAUAACUAUUGGAAACGAUAGCUAAUACCGCAUAACAAUGGAUGACACAUGUCAUUUAUUUGAAAGGGGCAAUUGCUCCACUACAAGAUGGACCUGCGUUGUAUUAGCUAGUAGGUGAGGUAAUGGCUCACCUAGGCGACGAUACAUAGCCGACCUGAGAGGGUGAUCGGCCACACUGGGACUGAGACACGGCCCAGACUCCUACGGGAGGCAGCAGUAGGGAAUCUUCGGCAAUGGGGGCAACCCUGACCGAGCAACGCCGCGUGAGUGAAGAAGGUUUUCGGAUCGUAAAGCUCUGUUGUAAGUCAAGAACGGGUGUGAGAGUGGAAAGUUCACACUGUGACGGUAGCUUACCAGAAAGGGACGGCUAACUACGUGCCAGCAGCCGCGGUAAUACGUAGGUCCCGAGCGUUGUCCGGAUUUAUUGGGCGUAAAGCGAGCGCAGGCGGUUUGAUAAGUCUGAAGUUAAAGGCUGUGGCUCAACCAUAGUUCGCUUUGGAAACUGUCAAGCUUGAGUGCAGAAGGGGAGAGUGGAAUUCCAUGUGUAGCGGUGAAAUGCGUAGAUAUAUGGAGGAACACCGGUGGCGAAAGCGGCUCUCUGGUCUGUAACUGACGCUGAGGCUCGAAAGCGUGGGGAGCGAACAGGAUUAGAUACCCUGGUAGUCCACGCCGUAAACGAUGAGUGCUAGGUGUUGGAUCCUUUCCGGGAUUCAGUGCCGCAGCUAACGCAUUAAGCACUCCGCCUGGGGAGUACGACCGCAAGGUUGAAACUCAAAGGAAUUGACGGGGACCCGCACAAGCGGUGGAGCAUGUGGUUUAAUUCGAAGCAACGCGAAGAACCUUACCUAAACUUGACAUCCCGAUGACCAUCUAUGUAAUGCAGACUCUCUUCGGAGCAUCGGAGACAGGUGGUGCAUGGUUGUCGUCAGCUCGUGUCGUGAGAUGUUGGGUUAAGUCCCGCAACGAGCGCAACCCUUAUCGUUAGUAGCCAUCAUUAAGUUGGGCACUCUAGCGAGACUGCCGUGGAUAACACGGAGGAAGGUGGGGAUGACGUCAAAUCAUCAUGCCCCUUAUGUUUAGGGCUACACACGUGCUACAAUGGCUGUCACAAAGUGAAGCGAACCUGUGAAGGCAAGCCAACCACAAAAAGGCAGUCCCAGUUCGGAUUGUAGUCUGCAACUCGACUACAUGAAGUUGGAAUCGCUAGUAAUCGCGAAUCAGAAUGUCGCGGUGAAUACGUUCCCGGGUCUUGCACUCACCGCCCGUCA
This 1407-nucleotide ribosomal RNA is filed under the name uncultured bacterium. Its description in RNAcentral is "bacterial SSU rRNA". It matches the Rfam family "Bacterial small subunit ribosomal RNA". The record is from RNAcentral.